This 1354-nucleotide unclassified non-coding RNA is filed under the name Hevea brasiliensis (rubber tree). The record is from RNAcentral. Lineage: Eukaryota; Viridiplantae; Streptophyta; Magnoliopsida; Malpighiales; Euphorbiaceae.
CUGAUCUAAACGUUCACUAGUAUUUCUUCCAAUCAGAUGUAUCCUUUUAUUUGAAAUGGUCCUCAUCUGGGUGAAAUAAAAUAAAAUAAAACCAAUUCAAUGGAGGCUGAAUCACAUCCAUAGAGAUGCAAAAAGCAAACAAAUCACAUAAAUUGCAUGGCCAAAAUUCAUUAACCUGUUUCUGAAGCAAUACUGCCUUGAAACUGUUUCCUGAUGAAAAAUAUAUAAGAUCCAUUUCCCUUGUGCAUAAUUGCUUACAUUUCCAAAGGCAAGUCUAAUACAAAAUGUCAUUACUAGAAAACGUGCAAUCCUGAACAUUUUAACACGUGUACAUGGAAAUUAGGAAGAUAAGUCUGGAUGCAACUAGCAACAAGAAAAAGAAAUUACAUAGAAUUGUUUUAAAUGAUAUCCUUCCAUAUUUGGUACAAUGCAACCGUCUCAAUCCACCUGUGGUUUGUUUAUCUAUUGGAACAGAAAUCUACAACCAAUGGCAAAGCCAAUUGCAUUGGUUUUAGCUUCAAUCAAACUAGAAGUUUAAAGAAAAUUUCACAAUGGAAUUGAACGGAACAAAGGAAAUAAGACCUAAAGAGAAAAUAUCACAGUGAUGAGAAUGGAAUGGAAUAUUAUUAUUUUUAUUAAAUUUUUUGCCAAAACAGGUGUCCUUCCUUGGGGGUGGUAAGUAGCAGGAUUAGUUUACCAGACCCUUGAAACUUUUAGAUAUAGGUCUGAGGAAUUCAACUCUGAGACUUAACAAUGCAGGUUCAAUAUAUAAAUUAUAGUCAUCUAGUUUCACUUGACUCAGACAAAUACAUAUAAAAAAAAAAAUUCAGAUACAUGGGUGUCACAUUUAUAGGAAUUUAUGCAAUUCAAAAGACAAGAACUUCAAAUCCCACAACCAAAGAAAGAAACUUUUAUUUAUGGAGAAUAAAGAACCUGUACCUGCUGGACUAAUCCUUCAGGACUGCAAUGACAGGCUGGUUGGGUUUCACCAUCAAUCAUUUUUGAAACAGCUACAAAUAAAUAAAUAAACAAAGAUGUGAACAUGCUUGAAGAGAUGUAUAAAAUAUGCAAAGCAGCUCCAUGACGAGACAACACUGUAGCAACAGGAUCAUUUCCAUCCCUUAAAGCAGUGUUGCAGUAGCCAGCUGUAAGUUCAGCAGGGUGAGACAUUGUUUGGCACCACCAAUAUAUUCCAGCAAUUUUAGCAACUAAUAUAACUGGAUUUUGUUUGUUUUGUUGAUAUUUCUUCAGCACAUUAGCUGCCAUUGAUAGAAUAGCAUCUACAUGACAAAUCAGCUUACCACUGUACCAUUCCUAAAAGUAGAGUUGUAGCCUUGGACUUUUGGAACUUCAG